UUCAAUUCGGCCACACGCACAGAAUAUGCCCCGCCUCCGCCCAACGCACUGUCAACUCGCGGACUCGCAACUGACGCUGGGCGAAUUCUCUGACCGAACGCGCCUUUUUUAAACCGUCACAGUCACUUAAUCCAUCUCCUCACACAGUGGAAACGCUGGAGCUGGCAGGUCGGUGAGGACGGAACACGCUUACAGCUCAUUCAAGUGCCACUGGUCUUGCAGUAUUUCAUCUUUUCCAAACAACCGAGUAAAUUUACAGCUCAUUCAAGUGCCACUGGUCUGUUUUUGGAGAAUUUCAUCUUUAAGGUGCUGUGAGAAAGAGCCAUGUCUCCCGUGCCACCACUGAUGAUGACAUUACAAAACACGUAAUACGGUGGUUCAACUUGGCAGCAGAUAGGGGAAACUCAAGGAGCCGUCCCACUGUCA
Long non-coding RNA from Triplophysa rosa, 426 nucleotides. RefSeq lists it as uncharacterized. The transcript has 4 exons. NCBI's taxonomy places the organism in Eukaryota, Metazoa, Chordata, Actinopteri, Cypriniformes, Nemacheilidae. The record is from RefSeq and is a predicted model, not a curated record.